UCGUACGUAUAACACCAUCUCUCUGGAGAGGGGCUCCUCAGGCCUGGGCUUCAGCAUCGUAGGAGGGUUCAGCAGCCCUCACGGAGACCUGCCCAUCUAUGUUAAAACUGUCUUCGACAAGGGGGCGGCCAUAGAGGACGGCCGGCUGAAACGUGGAGAUCAGAUCAUUGCUGUGAAUGGACAUUGUCUAGAGGGGGUAACUCACGCUGAAGCUGUGGACAUCCUCAAGAAGACCAAGGGAACUGUAGUCCUAACUGUACUUUCUUGAGACACAGCCCACUGUGUCUAAUUGUAGCUGCCUCCCGGUAUCACAGCCUCACACAAACAUGAGAGGAGUAAACCAGGACAGGUAAAGUCGUAUAGAGGAGUAAAAAACUGUUAAUUAAUUCUAGUUUAAUUUCGGGAAGCUACCUCUAACUGCAACUGGGUGCGUUAACGUGCACAAUUGCCCAAUAUAAACCCAGAUUCCUGUGAAGGUGUUAUUAGAAAUAAUUUGUGUAUGUUAUAAAAAUCUUCAUUUCCCUAUCCAAAUUACCUCUGUGUUGCAAACAGGCUAUUUUAGAGUAACCGCAGAAGCAACAAAGGCAUUUAUUAAACAAGCCAACUGAUAAUAAUAUAUUGUGUCUUAGUUAUCCUGUUCGAGGUAUUUAUAAUAAAGAUAUGCAAUGAUAUGCAUCAUUGCCCAUGUAAACACAUUCAUGAAUGAAUUACCAUCUCCAAAACCUCUGAUUCUACCGACAGUGCAUACAGUAUGAAUGCAAUAGAUAAUUUUCCUGUCACAAUGUCAGAUGUAUUUACUACUGUCUUACAUCUGUUCAUAUAGGGUUAUCCACUGUGAUUAACUCCUAAGACCCACAACAUGCCAAGUGCUUCUGCCAAUCUUUUGUAUGGCAAUAAGGUUUUCGGACAUUUGCUUUAGAAGACUGUUGAAUUUGUUUUCUUCAUUCUCAUAUUCUAAUCAAUAAGUGUUUCAUGAUUGCUAUAUUUAUCAAUGUACUUUAUCUAUCUUUUAAUAAUCUUUAAUAUUGUGCAUUUAUUUACCUAUUUGAUCAUGCUUACUGUUUUCAUAACCUAUACCUUGAUCUGUUGUAGUAAGUAUUGUUAUAGUGCAAUGUGCAACCUUUAUUUAGAAAUACUACAUGUUUUUAUGAAUUUAUUUAUACUGUAACAUUUAAGGUCUCUUCACAUUCAUUUAUUUAAUUGUAUUAAUGUCAGUAGUCCUUAGAGCCACAUCACACAUGGGUUUGGGAUUGUGUAACAUUGUAUGACAGAAUGUACUGUAAGGGAUCUUAUUCAAUGUUAAUUUGUUAGAGUUUUGUAUACAGAACUUUUUAUAGUUAAGUAAUUCUGCUGUUCUGCUGUCUUACUUCCUGAUGUACCUCAAGCAGGCACCUUAAAGCAGAUUAUAUUUUAAUGAGGAAUGCGAACAAAACAGAAAUCUUUCUUGAUUCUCUCUGUUGUCUCUCCGGGAUAAUACUGAUAAGCUAGUGGAUAUCACAUUGUUUGACUUUCAAAUUCCACAGAUGCAGACCAUAGAGAAGUUUUAAGAAAAUCUGCCAUAACUAAACUUUUAAACAA
Molecule: long non-coding RNA, 1578 nt
Organism: Notothenia coriiceps (black rockcod)
Lineage: Eukaryota; Metazoa; Chordata; Actinopteri; Perciformes; Nototheniidae
Exons: 2
Source: RefSeq, a predicted model, not a curated record